Molecule: ribosomal RNA, 377 nt
Filed under: uncultured delta proteobacterium
Lineage: Bacteria; Deltaproteobacteria
Description: bacterial SSU rRNA
Rfam family: Bacterial small subunit ribosomal RNA
Source: RNAcentral
UAAUACAGAGGGUGCAAGCGUUGUUCGGAAUUAUUGGGCGUAAAGCGCGCGUAGGCGGUUACAUAUGUCUGACGUGAAAGCCCGGGGCUCAACCCCGGAAGUGCAUCGGAAACUGUGUAACUAGAGUCCCGGAGAGGAUGGUGGAAUUCCAGGUGUAGAGGUGAAAUUCGUAGAUAUCUGGAGGAACAUCAGUGGCGAAGGCGGCCAUCUGGACGGUGACUGACGCUGAGGUGCGAAGGCGUGGGUAGCGAACAGGAUUAGAUACCCUGGUAGUCCACGCCGUAAACGAUGGAUACUAGGAUCAGCGGGUAUUGACCCCUGCUGUUCCGUAGCUAACGCAUUAAGUAUCCCGCCUGGGAAGUACGGCCGCAAGGCUA